AGCUUAAGCGGAAAUUGAAGAGUAAGGUGAGGGAGGGGGAAGAGCUAUCAAACUUUAGAGGCUUAAUUCGCCCGAAGAGAGAAAGCUCACUAAGAACUAGCUUGGCCGUAGUUCCUCGUAGGAGAUAGACGGACGAAGUCGGGGCUCGUCCCCGGUCAAUAUUGGAUCAAACAAAACAAGCAAUAGGGGCCGUAGCACUGACCUCUUU
This 208-nucleotide long non-coding RNA is filed under the name Brassica napus (rape). RNAcentral's name for it is "long non-coding RNA (BNAP_LNC023481)". Lineage: Eukaryota; Viridiplantae; Streptophyta; Magnoliopsida; Brassicales; Brassicaceae. The record is from RNAcentral.